ACCGCGAGAGUAUCAUCCAGAGCUGGCAUCUUGAUGGAUACUCCUUCUGGGUAGUUGGGUAAGUACCUGCAGAACAAGCCAAGUUCAUUAGCUGCAAAUCAGUUUUAGUCAUCACAAUUUUCAUAUAUCUGCACAGCGUCAUCCAUUAGAAUCAUUUUUCUUAUGGUACUUGUGCUGCAGAAUGAAUGGAGGAGUGUGGACACCUGCAAGCAGGAACCAGUACAAUCUUAGAGAUGCAGUAUCGCGUUGCACCACUCAGGUGAGACAAUCAAACUCGAUUCAUUGAGACAUUGUUCGCCCAAGAAAAUCAAAGUACCAGUAUGGAACUAACCAAAAUUUAUGGUUGAUGUUACAGGUAUAUCCCAAGUCAUGGACUGCUGUGUACAUAGCACUAGACAAUGUGGGAAUGUGGAAUCUGAGAACAGAGUUCUGGGCAAGGCAAUACCUUGGACAACAAUUCUAUCUUAGAGUUUACUCCCCAGUGGGGUCGAUCAGGGACGAAUACCCGAUUCCAAAGAAUGCACUUCUCUGUGGUAGAGCUGCAGGAAGAAAAACAAGAUCCCUCUAAACAACAAUUACUACUUUAAAUGGCUCCAACUCGGGGCCAGAUUCUUUGUUAUACAACUCAUUUGUCAUUUAAAAUAAUUCUUUUUACACAUACUUCUAUGAAGUUAAAAUUUCUCUAUGUACUUGCAUAGUUAAAGUUCUUUUCUCUUUCCCCAGAAAAUGUCCAUGUGUGUACUGCUUUCUCCACCUUGAAUUUUGACAAUCUGCAGCCAGGGUUAUGAAUAAGUUGUGUCCUUAGAAGAAGAAGCAGUAUGUUUUCAAUGUUCCAUGGUGAAGGAUUGUUUAUAGACCAAGAAAAUGACCCACAAGGGACAAGGUGUACUUCUUGUUACAUGUUGUUUCAUCCGUCAAAGACCAGCUACUAUAUUCAACAAAAGAACAUCAAUUAAAUUCUUAAAAAAAAAAAAUCCAGAAAUGACUAAAGUAAACUAAGAUGGCAACAAGUUUCGCUGCACUGAACUUGUACACAGUUUUCUCCUUAUUUUAUCAUCACACAAAAUAUAGGACAAAAAACUUAAGACUGAAUUCCCUUUGAUAAUCAGAAUAAGCAAUUCAAUCUCACCAUUGUAAUGGUGUCUGUGCAUAUGAUCAAAUGUCUUCCAAGAAGACAACAUAUAUCUGGAUGGUUCCAAUCCUGCUAGUUUCCAUUCCUAAGAACUAUUUGCAGGGUAUAUCGUAUAUGCAGUCAACACACAAACUCUAAUCAUCCUAGUUCCUAACUAAUUAUAUUAUUGUCACAGAAGAAUUGGACAGAAUGGCAGUUAUGGAAUUGUUGACAUGGUCAACCAGGAACCGGCCUAAGAGAAUUUCUAGAGCAAUCCGCCUCCAAGGCAUAGUUUUGCUGGCAAACAACCACCUUAGCAGGCAUUUGUUUGUACUUUGUGAAGCUUCUUUUAUAUAAAUGUCUUAGGUAUUCAAAGAAAACAUGGUGAAAGAGACACAGAGAUAGACAGGAGCUUCUCAGUUUAUUCCUCAUGGCAAAGAGAUGGGUUUCUUCAUUUCUUUUCCUAAGCAUUUUCCUAGCCAUGGUUGUCUCUCACUCAGCAGAUGGACCGCUUCCUGCUCUUUUCAUACUAGGGGACUCAACAGCUGAUGUUGGAACCAACACUCUCUUGCCUCAGAGCGUAGUGAGGGCUGACUUACCUUUCAAUGGCAUUGAUUUUCCACACUCAAGACCAACUGGGAGGUUCAGCAAUGGCUUCAAUACUGCUGAUUUUCUUGGUUAGUAGUGCAUGUACCCUGUGUUUUAAGCAGGUUUUCCAAUCUUUCAUCCAUAUGCCUAUCAUCAAACUAUGUUCAUAUACCAGUGGUAUUAUUGCAGUAACCUUUGUUUUUGUGAUACUUCCUUUCAGCCAAGCAUAUAGGUUACCGAAGAAGUCCACCACCCUUUCUUUCUAUUCUAAGCCACUCAUCUUCUCUCAGUAAGAAGUUCCUCAGAGGGGUAAACUUUGCAUCAGGAGGAUCAGGAAUCCUCGACACAACAGGACAAACACUGGUAAGGCCUCUGUUUAGGCACUUCAUUGUUGACAUUCCUAACUAGAAAGGUGUUCCAUAUGAUGAUAAGAAAUGCUUUUCUUUCGUUUUCUAUGAAUGAGAGUUUGAUCUCUGACAAGCUCUUCUAAUUGUACAUUUCAUUUGGAACAACAAACGGCAGGGAAUCAUCACUUUGGGAGCGCAAAUCCAGCAGUUUGCCACAGUCCACAGUAAUCUUACAGCUGCAAUAGGUCCAGAAGAAACAGAGAAGUUUCUCUCCAAAUCUUUGUUUGUCAUCAGCACUGGAAGCAAUGAUAUUAUUAACUAUUUCCAAUCUAAUAAUCGUACUUUACCCAAGGAAGAGUUCAUACAAAAUCUAGGAUAUGCGUAUGAGAACCACUUAAGGGUAAGAUGUCUUCCUCUCUACUUAAAAGUUCAGGAUAGAAGCCUAUAGGCAUACAACUUCAACAGAAUGUUUGAAGUUAUGAAAUGAAACAUGAUCCAGGGCUAACAUAGAAUCCAGUGAUGAACUCGUAUGUUUGAUAUGGCAGACUUUGUUCGAUCUUGGGGCAAGGAAGUUUGGAAUUUUAAGUGUCCCACCAAUUGGGUGCUGUCCAUCUCUAAGAACUUUGGAUCCCUCUUAUGGUUGUCUGGAAGAAAUGAAUGAAUAUGCUACAUUUUUCUAUACAACGAUCCAAGCCCUAAUGCAAAGGCUCAGCUCAGAAUAUCAAGGAAUGAAGUACUCGCUUGGAAAUGCAUAUGACAUGGCAAUGUAUGUUGUCAACAACCCCGUUGCAUUCAGUAAGUAAUUCAGCCUCUAAAUGGUAUAACUCACAAUUAUACAUUUCAGAGAAAGCAUACCCUUGUUCAACAGACUAGUUUCCUCAUCCCUUGCUCCUGAGUCAAUUAAAGGAUUGAAUCCUGCUAAUCUUGGACAUCCCACAGCUCCCAGACAAACACCUGCAACUUGAUUUAAUGAAGAUUUGUAAGUAUGAAAUAAAGAGUAGAAUCUAAUUUCAAGUUUCCUCCAAAUUCUCAGAUUUUACAGAUGUGAAAAGCGCUUGUUGUGGAGGUGGGAAGUUAAAUGCACAGUCUCCUUGUGUACCA
RNAcentral lists this long non-coding RNA (3147 nucleotides) under Vitis vinifera (wine grape). Its description in RNAcentral is "long non-coding RNA (VVIN_LNC000641)". The record is from RNAcentral. Lineage: Eukaryota; Viridiplantae; Streptophyta; Magnoliopsida; Vitales; Vitaceae.